GGGCACGAGCAUCACCUGUUCCAGGAGCGACUGCUAUUGCUUCCACAUUCUCUCGCCAGUGAAGUCCUGCUGAUAGACUGUACUUGUCUCCUCGCCCUGCACUACUACUGGUUCUGCACUCCUGUUCUCAAUUGUGGUCCACAAGCGUACCCAACGCGCUGUUGCACGACUCUACGAUCUGCGCUCCAAAAGAUUACUUCGGGCACGAGCAUCACCUGUUCCAGGAGCGACUGCUAUUGCUUCUACAUUCUCUCGCCAGUGACGUCCUGCUGAUAGACUGUACUUGUCUCCUCGCCCUGCACUACUACUGGUUCUGCACUCCUGUUCUCAAUUGUGGUCCACAAGCGUACCCAAGGCGCUGUUGCACGACUCUACGAUCUGUGCUCCAAAAG
RNAcentral lists this long non-coding RNA (392 nucleotides) under Dermacentor andersoni. RNAcentral's name for it is "uncharacterized LOC126521749". The record is from RNAcentral. Lineage: Eukaryota; Metazoa; Arthropoda; Arachnida; Ixodida; Ixodidae.